UACGUAGGGUGCAAGCGUUAUCCGGAAUUAUUGGGCGUAAAGAGCUCGUAGGCGGUUUGUCGCGUCUGCUGUGAAAACUGGAGGCUCAACCUCCAGCCUGCAGUGGGUACGGGCAGACUAGAGUGCGGUAGGGGAGAUUGGAAUUCCUGGUGUAGCGGUGGAAUGCGCAGAUAUCAGGAGGAACACCGAUGGCGAAGGCAGGUCACUGGGCCGCAACUGACGCUGGGGAGCGAAAGCAUGGGGAGCGAACAGG
Molecule: ribosomal RNA, 253 nt
Filed under: uncultured bacterium
Lineage: Bacteria
Description: partial 16S ribosomal RNA
Rfam family: Bacterial small subunit ribosomal RNA
Source: RNAcentral